This 499-nucleotide ribosomal RNA is filed under the name uncultured bacterium. RNAcentral's name for it is "bacterial SSU rRNA". It matches the Rfam family "Bacterial small subunit ribosomal RNA", at positions 29 to 521 of the family's 1533-position model. The record is from RNAcentral.
AUUGAACGCUGGCGGCGUGCCUAACACAUGCAAGUCGAGCGGUAACAGGUGUAGCAAUACAUGCUGACGAGCGGCGGACGGGUGAGUAACGCUUGGGAAUCUGCCUAUUAGUGGGGGACAACCCGGGGAAACUCGGGCUAAUACCGCAUACGCACUACGGUGGAAAGCCGGGGACCGCAAGGCCUGGCGCUAACAGAUGAGCCCAAGUCGGAUUAGCUAGUUGGUAGGGUAACGGCCACCAAGGCGACGAUCCGUAACUGGUCUGAGAGGACGACCAGUCACACCGGAACUGAGACACGGUCCGGACUCCUACGGGAGGCAGCAGUGGGGAAUAUUGGACAAUGGGCGAAAGCCUGAUCCAGCGACGCCGCGUGGGUGAAGAAGGCCUGCGGGUUGUAAAGCCCUUUCAGUGGGGAAGAAAAGCCUCGAGCUAAUAUCUCGGGGUCUUGACGUAACCCAUAGAAGAAGCACCGGCUAACUCUGUGCCAGCAGCCGCGGU